UACGGGGGGGGCAAGUGUUAUCCGGAUUCACUGGGUUUAAAGGGUGCGUAGGCGGGUUUGUAAGUCAGUGGUGAAAUCUCCGAGCUUAACUUGGAAACUGCCAUUGAUACUAUCAGUCUUGAAUAUUGUGGAGGUUAGCGGAAUAUGUCAUGUAGCGGUGAAAUGCUUAGAUAUGACAUAGAACACCAAUUGCGAAGGCAGCUGGCUACACAUAUAUUGACACUGAGGCACGAAAGCGUGGGGAUCAGACAGG
RNAcentral lists this ribosomal RNA (253 nucleotides) under uncultured bacterium. RNAcentral describes it as "partial 16S ribosomal RNA". It matches the Rfam family "Bacterial small subunit ribosomal RNA", at positions 524 to 776 of the family's 1533-position model. The record is from RNAcentral.